Molecule: transfer RNA, 66 nt
Filed under: Streptomyces alfalfae
Lineage: Bacteria; Bacillati; Actinomycetota; Actinomycetes; Kitasatosporales; Streptomycetaceae
Description: tRNA-Val
Rfam family: tRNA
About the family: Transfer RNA (tRNA) molecules are approximately 80 nucleotides in length. Their secondary structure includes four short double-helical elements and three loops (D, anti-codon, and T loops).
Source: RNAcentral
GCUCAGCGGGAGAGCGCUUCCCUGACACGGAAGAGGUCACUGGUUCAAUCCCAGUAUCGCGCACCA